ACGGGAGGCAGCAGUGGGGAAUAUUGCACAAUGGGCGAAAGCCUGAUGCAGCGACGCCGCGUGAGGGAUGACGGCCUUCGGGUUGUAAACCUCUUUCAGCAGGGAAGAAGCGAAAGUGACGGUACCUGCAGAAGAAGCGCCGGCUAACUACGUGCCAGCAGCCGCGGUAAUACGUAGGGCGCAAGCGUUGUCCGGAAUUAUUGGGCGUAAAGAGCUCGUAGGCGGCUUGUCACGUCGAUUGUGAAAGCUCGGGGCUUAACCCCGAGUCUGCAGUCGAUACGGGCUAGCUAGAGUGUGGUAGGGGAGAUCGGAAUUCCUGGUGUAGCGGUGAAAUGCGCAGAUAUCAGGAGGAACACCGGUGGCGAAGGCGGAUCUCUGGGCCAUUACUGACGCUGAGGAGCGAAAGCGUGGGGAGCGAACAGGAUUAGAUACCCUGGUAGUCCACGCCGUAAACGGUGGGAACUAGGUGUUGGCGACAUUCCACGUCGUCGGUGCCGCAGCUAACGCAUUAAGUUCCCCGCCUGGGGAGUACGGCCGCAAGGCUAAAACUCAAAGGAAUUGACGGGGGCCCGCACAAGCGGCGGAGCAUGUGGCUUAAUUCGACGCAACGCGAAGAACCUUACCAAGGCUUGACAUACACCGGAAAGCAUUAGAGAUAGUGCCCCCCUUGUGGUCGGUGUACAGGUGGUGCA
RNAcentral lists this ribosomal RNA (692 nucleotides) under Streptomyces sp. RNAcentral's name for it is "bacterial SSU rRNA". It matches the Rfam family "Bacterial small subunit ribosomal RNA", at positions 341 to 1045 of the family's 1533-position model. The record is from RNAcentral. Lineage: Bacteria; Bacillati; Actinomycetota; Actinomycetes; Kitasatosporales; Streptomycetaceae.